This is a long non-coding RNA of Mus musculus (house mouse), 3837 nucleotides long. RefSeq annotates it as predicted gene, 33680. Lineage: Eukaryota; Metazoa; Chordata; Mammalia; Rodentia; Muridae. The record is from RefSeq and is a predicted model, not a curated record. The transcript has 5 exons.
UGCCAGUGUCUCCUCACAACAAUGAAAAGCAGUGUGAGUGGAGCCUACUAAGUCCCUUGGCCAACAGGGAAGCCAUUUCAGAGCCAGGUAGGCCCUGUGUGGAUGGGCAGGACAGCACAUCUAAGGUGAAAGAAGUGCUUCUCAUUUUAUAAAAUCAGUUUCCCAGAUUCCUUCCGGGAUGUGUCUAUAACCCACGCUGUGAGUUCUGAGGAAAGAGACUACUGAAGACAAAUCCAGGAGAGAAUCCUUCAGGACAUUUGCAGCGUUCAGAUGGGAUUCCCUUUUUCCAUCAAGGGUGGAUUUACUUGCAUAUGAUGCACCUUGUGGCUUUCUGCAGAUUAUACCUCAUCAUGGUGGCAGUGACUGCUUCUGGCUCCCUAAUUCCGCAGUUUCCACAGGCUAAGGCUACUGAGGAAAAAGGACUUGGCUUCCACCUGGGUCCUUACAGAAUACUGUUUCACACCUUCAUGGCCAUGCCUAUUACAUUGUUCAUUCCUCGUGUGUUUACAGUCUCCUCAACAUGGUGGGCACCAAAACAAAAUGUUGUAACUUCACUUCUGUGUAUGCACAGAUCCGAAGGAUACAAAGCACUUCAAGCUUUUACAUCAGGCUUUUACUUUUAAAUCACCAGAGGAGGAAAUAAAGCCCAGAUGAUGGUUCACGUAUUCACCUGGCAGCAGCAGCACAAGAAAUUAGGUCUGCAGUUUUCAUCACCUUCCUGACACUGUAUGUGACCCACGAAAGAAGAGAAUUCUCCAGUCUUCCUCUUUUCUAUCCUCAAACUCUUCACUGUAUGUGGCAACAUGGGCUCAUUAAUGAGAAUUUGUGGCUUUGGUCUUUCAAAAGCAACAAUGAGGUAACAAACUUCCUGCAUUUAGAGUAACAAGGUUGAUGAACAUGACUUCUUAGCAAAUUGUCAAGAAUAUGUAGUUCAAUAAUCUCAACACUGCCAUAAUUUAGACAAGACUAUGAAAUUCUGAAGGCAUAUGGAAAACCACUUUUAUGCUUUCAUAUCACAGUGGUUGUGCAGACACAGUCACCUCCUACUGAAAAUUUCCAUCCUUGAUCUUCCCUGCUUCUUCCUUUACUCUCUAGGCAGUUACCAGAUCUUCCCUGGACACAGAAUAGUACUGUCCUGUCACCAGUUCUUUGAACAGCUCCAUCCUGAGAGCUUGGAAAGUGGAGACCCAAGUCCUAGAAAAUAAGUACAAGACUGAGAGUCUAAAGCCUGUGUGGACUCUCAGCUCUGCUAUUAAAAUCGCUCUGUGACCCUUUGCUGGUCACUUAACCUACUGUGCUGCUAUUUGCUCAUCUGUAAAAUUGCUCUCCCUCAUAGGCUCUUUGUGAGGAUAAAAGAAAAUAAUAGGUGGCAAAGUGCAGUGAAUGGUAAAAGUCUAAUACUAAAUCAAAGUAUUAUCAUUUUAGAAAUUUAUCCCUGAGUAGUGCUGACAUCGACAUACAGAAGUUGAAGCUGCAAUUAGGGGCCUGCUUCAUCUUUAACCCACCAAUAGUAAAGAAUAGUUUCAGCAGUGACCCGAUUUCAGGCACCCUAUGGCUACUUGAAACUCCCCCUUCUUAUUCUUAGUAUAAGUAUAGCAGUUCAGAAAUUAUUCUAGGACAGUUUUAAUACCAACUAGUCUGUAGUCUUCCUUUUUAAGCCAUGAGUUCAUAAAUCGUUAUUUAAGCUAUUAGAACCUUAUACAUAUUCUUGUAGCUCUAUGCAAUUGUUUUGUUUAUGGAAACAGAUCUUGACUAAAGCCUGCUAUGUGCCAAACCUCAGAAACAUGAAGGAAAAUGCCUACCCAGCUAAGGAUGCUGGCAGUAUAGUACAAGACAGACUAAGAAUCAGUUAUGGGAGGAGAUGGAGGAGAUGUACAGAGGGUCAGGAAAUUGAACAGAGGUGUGUAGCAGUGAGGGAUGGGGAACUGGGAGUAGCAACCAGAAACUCCCAUAUGCCAGGAAAGCAAGAGCCUCCCAGGACCCCAUGGGAAUGACAUCAGCUGAAAUACCCCCACAAAAGGGAUGGAGGACCUGUCUAGACCAUAUACAGAGCUUAGGUAUGCCCUCCUUCAUGCUUGAGGGAUGGGUCCACUCACCUAUCUCAAAAAAAUUUAACCCAGAAUUGCUCCUGUCUAAAGGAAAUACAGAGACAAGGAGUGGAACGGAAACUGAAGGAAAGGCCAUCAGAGACUGCCCCUUCUGGGGAUCCAUCCCACAUGCAGACACCAAAACUAGAUAUUAUUGCUGAUGCCAAGAAGUGCUUGCUGUCAGGAUCCCGAUACAGCUGUGUCCUACGAGGCUCUGCCAGAUCCUGGCCAAUACAGAUGCAGAUGCUUUUAGUCAGCCAUCAGACUGAGCACAGGGGCUCCAAUGGAGGAGUUAGGGGAAGGAACAAGAAGAAAUCCUUGCAGAAAUCAAGCACAGUGAUUUCUGGAUUCUUUUGGAAACAUGUCAGUUAACAUUUCUGAAGCAUAAGUGCAGGCUCUGGAAAUGAAUGGUUAAUCACUUGCCUCCAGAGGUUGUGCAGAAGUGUAAUCUGCACUAGUUAUAAUCUUGAUAGUCAAUUUGAUGCAUUCGAGACAAUGAAGGAGCUAAAGGGGCCUUAUCUGACAUCAGUGGGAGGAUAGGCCCUUGGUCCUGUGAAGGCUUGAUGCCUCCAUGUAGAGGAAUGGUAGGGCAGUGAGGCAGGAGUGUGUGUGUGGGGGAGCGGGGAGCACUCUCAUAGAAGCAGGAUAUGAGGGGAUGGGAUAGGGGGUUUGCAGAGGGGAAACCAGGAAAGGGGUUAAUAUUUGAAAUGUAAAUAAAUAAAAUAUCCAAUUAAAAACAAAGUGUUCAAAGCAAUGAGGCCCCUUGCUGUGAAGGUGGACCACUGGCUAAGCACUGUCCUAGAGCAUUUCAGUACUUUAUAUCCAUUUCACUAGGUAAUUCUACUAAAUCCUUGGUUUCCUUUUUUUGUGUGUUUGUUUGUUUGUUUGUUUUCGAGACAGGGUUUUUCUGUAUAGCCCUGGCUGUUCUAGAAGUCACUUUGUAGACCAGGCUGGCCUCAAAAUCAGAAAUCCGCUUGCCUCUGCCCCCCGAGUGCUGGGAUUAAAGGUGUGUGCCACCAUGCCCGGCUUUUGUUUUCCUUUAUAAGUUAUUUUUCCGUUGAUGUGUCACAACACACUUUUUAAAAGCCACUUAUGGGAAGAAAGGCUUCUUUGGGAUCACAGAUCACCUUUUCCUUUUCACUGAGUCUGGGGCCAAUGACGUAAUGCUCCCCAGAGUUAGAAUGGAUCUUUCCCGCUAAAUUCACCUAAUCUAGUGAGUGUCUCACGUUCAUGCCCAGAGAUUGUCUCCAAUGCAUCAAAUUGACCAUCAAGAUUAUAACCAGUACACUUCUGGACAACCUCUGGAGGCAAGCGAUUAACCAUUCAUUUUCAGAGCCUACACUUAAGCUUCAGAAAUGUUAACUGACAUGUUUCCAAAGGAAUUCAGAAAUUGCUCUGCUUGACAUCUGUAUUCUGUGAGAAGUCAGGAACGCACUUGGCCUCAGAGACAUGGAGGCUAAGCUAAGCAAUGCAUUUGUUUACUGCCUGAAUGUGAUGUGUUCUCUUUAACAAAGGCAAUUGUUUUUACAUUUUGAUUUUGUAAAACAUGCAAAAUGGUUAUCCAAGAAGUCUUCUAAGCUAUAAAUGGUGUAUGUAAUAUUAAAGAUUUUAUGAUCCAAAUCUCAAUUCCUUAGAAAAGUAAAAGCUUUUUCUCAUGAAAGCCCUACACUUUAGAAGUGAUCUUAAUAAAGUGUUCGAUGUGUUCCUAGACACCCAUUAUUCUGCUCGACAAUAAAGUUAACAAAGGCAA